Small nucleolar RNA from Suncus etruscus (white-toothed pygmy shrew), 76 nucleotides. RefSeq annotates it as small nucleolar RNA SNORD103/SNORD85. The record is from RefSeq and is a predicted model, not a curated record. NCBI's taxonomy places the organism in Eukaryota, Metazoa, Chordata, Mammalia, Eulipotyphla, Soricidae. The transcript has a single exon.
ACUGGCAAGGAUGACAUUCACUUGCCCUCACUUAGACUACAGUUCAUUGAUGAGAGUAAGAUUGUUCUGAGCCAGU